RNAcentral lists this small RNA (410 nucleotides) under Arabidopsis thaliana (thale cress). Its description in RNAcentral is "ATSL285560". The record is from RNAcentral. Lineage: Eukaryota; Viridiplantae; Streptophyta; Magnoliopsida; Brassicales; Brassicaceae.
UUUUUUAAUUUUGGUAAAAGGUGAAAUUUUAUACCAUUUUUGUUUUUGACAGAAUUACAAGGAAAAGUAGAAGCAGAACAAAACAAUUUACAGAAAAUUAAAGAACAACAUUACAACUCUAAUUGCAAAGGAUCGCCGAUGAGUGAUCAAGGCCAAGUUAGGAGGAGAAACACCGAUUCCGAGUCCGCGAAGCUCGGAAAUUUGCGUUGUUGCCGCAGUACCGAAGUAUUGGAAUCCUCAUCCUAGUUGCCACGAGCAUGAUUAUUCAAGGUCCGUCCACAAAACCUCAAAGAUAGAAGUCUACAGCUUCUCCGAGAACUAACGCAAAAACGAACAAGCAAACAUGAACAAGCAAACAUGAUUAAGCCUAAUGUUCUGAAUUUGAUAAUUGAAUUUGAAAUUGGCCAAAU